UCCCUCCGGUGCGUCGGCAUCGCCCGCCUCCCGCGUGGGCGGCGACGACGCGUUCCCCGCGUCCCGCGCCGGCUCGGCCGCCGCCGGUGGGACC
RNAcentral lists this transfer RNA (94 nucleotides) under Streptomyces naganishii JCM 4654. Its description in RNAcentral is "tRNA-Ala". The record is from RNAcentral. Lineage: Bacteria; Bacillati; Actinomycetota; Actinomycetes; Kitasatosporales; Streptomycetaceae.